AUACGUAGGGGGCGAGCGUUGUCCGGAAUGAUUGGGCGUAAAGGGCGCGUAGGCGGCCAUGUAAGUCUGAAGUGAAAGUCCUGUUUUUAAGAUGGGAAUUGCUUUGGAUACUGUGUGGCUUGAGUGCAGGAGAGGUAAGUGGAAUUCCCAGUGUAGCGGUGAAAUGCGUAGAGAUUGGGAGGAACACCAGUGGCGAAGGCGACUUACUGGGCUGUAACUGGCGCUGAGGCGCGAAAGUGUGGGGAGCAAACAGAAUGAGAUACACUGAUAGUCCACACUGAACUCAAUGAAUGCUAGGUGGAGGGGGUAACGCCCCCUUCUGCGCCGUAGUAAACACAAUAAGCAUACCGCCUGGGGAGUACGGCCGCAAGGUGGAAACUCAAAGAAAUUGACGGGU
This 397-nucleotide ribosomal RNA is filed under the name uncultured bacterium. Its description in RNAcentral is "partial 16S ribosomal RNA". It matches the Rfam family "Bacterial small subunit ribosomal RNA", at positions 523 to 918 of the family's 1533-position model. The record is from RNAcentral.